Molecule: long non-coding RNA, 243 nt
Filed under: Elaeis guineensis (African oil palm)
Lineage: Eukaryota; Viridiplantae; Streptophyta; Magnoliopsida; Arecales; Arecaceae
Description: long non-coding RNA (EGUI_LNC059558)
Source: RNAcentral
GACGGUGAAUACGUAUUCCACACUCGUAAGGGACCUCCCAAUAAUAUCCACUCCCCUAGCAAAUCCACUUGAGAAUUUCAACUAUAACCUCUUCAAGAUUACAGUUCGAUUAUUUUUAUGGAUUCACAAUCCAAUCAAGUUGGUUUUCACUGAUUCACUAAUCAAAAUCUCACAACUUCUUGUUUAUUUUUCGAGCUUACACUCAAUUUUAAUUGAUUUUUUCGGAGAUACUAAUCAAAACCA